This is a long non-coding RNA of Pan troglodytes (chimpanzee), 621 nucleotides long. RefSeq lists it as uncharacterized. The transcript has 5 exons. Lineage: Eukaryota; Metazoa; Chordata; Mammalia; Primates; Hominidae. The record is from RefSeq and is a predicted model, not a curated record.
ACUGUUAUUAUUAUGUAAAGUCCUGAACACAGAGGAAUUGACAGCGAGGAAAAGGAGGUAUGCUAGUAAGAAUCCAAUUUAUCUUUUCCAGAGCUUCAUUCUCAAUAACCACCUAACCCAAUCAGUGCUAAAUCACCAUCAGGAUAAAAUCUAAAACAACAAAACAGAAGAAUAUCAGUAUAAAUAUUAAAAAGCUUCAAACUCCCAUCUGGCCUUUUGUUCAGUGCAACUAAGUGUCCUAAUCAGCAGCAAGAAAGAUGGCAAAUACAACUACAAAACACCACAUGAUAUUGGGAAGAUGUUAAGCAAUGUAUUUGAUGUCCUUCAAAAACUAUCUUUAUAAUGAAACAAGAGAAACCAUGAUUAACUAUCAAAUUCAACUUGCUGCACAGCAUAACAAAACUACAGUGGAAUAAAGAAUAAGGAGAAUUUUGAGUCAUGUCUUGUACAAUUGAAAUUUAAGAGCAAGGUUGCUUCUGUACCCCUAUACAGACUUGGCGCUGUGCCUCCACAUUAGCUGCCAGAAAGAUGACGAAUGACAAUCAAAGAAAUCACCAGGAGACAAUGGCCUCUAUAAGGCCCACAUGCUUAUUUGUUCUGAAUUAAAAUGCUCAAACUUCA